GAUGAACGCUAGCUACAGGCUUAACACAUGCAAGUCGAGGGGAAACGGCAUCGAAAGCUUGCUUUUGAUGGGCGUCGACCGGCGCACGGGUGAGUAACGCGUAUCCAACCUGCCCAUCACUUGGGAAUAACCUUGCGAAAGUAAGACUAAUGCCCAAUGACAUCCCACGAAGGCAUCCGAAUGGGAUUAAAGAUUUAUCGGUGAUGGAUGGGGAUGCGUCUGAUUAGCUUGUUGGCGGGGUGACGGCCCACCAAGGCAACGAUCAGUAGGGGUUCUGAGAGGAAGGUCCCCCACAUUGGAACUGAGACACGGUCCAAACUCCUACGGGAGGCAGCAGUGAGGAAUAUUGGUCAAUGGGCGAGAGCCUGAACCAGCCAAGUAGCGUGCAGGAUGACGGCCCUAUGGGUUGUAAACUGCUUUUAUAAGGGAAUAAAGUGGGUCACGGGUGGCUUUUUGCAUGUACCUUAUGAAUAAGAACCGGCUAAUUCCGUG
Molecule: ribosomal RNA, 492 nt
Filed under: uncultured bacterium
Lineage: Bacteria
Description: partial 16S ribosomal RNA
Rfam family: Bacterial small subunit ribosomal RNA
Source: RNAcentral